GGAUGUGAGGUUGAUCUGGCUGUGACAUCUGUCACCCCACUGAUCAUCAGGGUGGAUUUGGAUGAUCGGGCUGGCUAGGCUUUCUCACUCACUGCUCCAUGUGCAUCCUUCCUGAAGCUGCUUGCUUGGUUGAAGUCGAUGACCACCCCCAAAAGGGGAGGACUGUUUCUUUAGUCAAGGGUAAUAUGGGUGGCCAUAGCCCCCUGUUAGAACUUCCAAACGAGCUCCCAAGAUUAGUUCAACAUAUGAAAAUCAAUCAAUGUAAUAUAUCAUAUUCAUAGAAUUAAU
Molecule: small nuclear RNA, 288 nt
Filed under: Octodon degus (degu)
Lineage: Eukaryota; Metazoa; Chordata; Mammalia; Rodentia; Octodontidae
Description: 7SK RNA (ENSODEG00000023026.1)
Rfam family: 7SK RNA
About the family: 7SK was discovered as an abundant small nuclear RNA in the mid-70s but a possible function has only recently been suggested. Two independent studies have found that 7SK RNA binds the CDK9/cyclin T complex (known as elongation factor P-TEFb).
Source: Rfam by way of RNAcentral